GCUGCUCGGGGACCCCUUGAGGAAAGCCCAGCGACGCCGGGCCAGCGCAUUCUUAUUUUAUGAAGAUCUGGCAAGAGUUAGCGUGCAGUUCUACAUUGUGACAAUUCAUGAGAGCUAAGGACUGGCUGUCUCUUGGGACAAAUAGGCUUUCUUGAGUCUGCAUGAGGCCCUCACCAGAUACAGCCACCUGAUCUUGGACUUCACAGCCUCCAGAAAUCUUUGCUUCCACUUCUAAGUGAGAACAUACAGUGUUUGGUUUUUCAUUCCUGAGUUACUUCACCUAGAACAAUGGCCUCCAGCUCCAUCCAAGUUGCUGCAGAAGACAUUUCAUUCCUUUUAUGGCUGAGUAGUAUUCCAUGAUGCCCUGGAAUACACUUGUGUCAGUGACAAAUGCUGCUUUGCUGUGCUACAUCGAGUACAAGGUAGUGAUAAGACAUGACUGGGAAGCAGUUACCAGAGACAAGCGAGGAUAGGGCUUUGACUGCAUCCUCUGCUGGUGGCUUCUGUAUCCAGUGAUUCAAGUUUGACACACCACACCACGGUGGAUGUGCCUUGUCAUGACACAUCUUCUCAGCAGCACUAGAAGAUACAUCCAAAGUCCUGUGAGCAAGGACACAGCGAGAAGAUGGCUGUCUACAAGCCAGGAAGAGAGUCCUCACCAGAACCAAACCCUGCUGGACUUUGAUCUUGGACUUCCCAGCCUCUAAAACUGUGAAGACAUAAAUUUCUGUUGUUAAACCCACACAGGUCUGUGGUAUCUGUUUAUUAUGGCAGCCCAGUAAGACUAAGACAGGCCAUCACAAGACAUGAAUGUUUUGGACCUUCUCUUGGGCCCUAGUAAACAGAAAUCAGGUACGCAAAAGGGGUAAGCAUAUAAUUUCCUUUAUUUUUAUUUUUAAUGUGUAAGCCUUAGGUUUUUAUUUAUUUAUUUGGUGAAGACAAUCACAUUGUGUACGUACAAUGUAAUUAUAUUGUUGACGAGAAGUUACUUAAAAUUUUUUAAAAAUUCUAAUCGAUUUCUAGAUGUCCAAAUGAGAAGAUAGCAUUUAUAUACCAUCAGAACAUAAAAUA
Molecule: long non-coding RNA, 1071 nt
Organism: Homo sapiens (human)
Lineage: Eukaryota; Metazoa; Chordata; Mammalia; Primates; Hominidae
Gene: GUSBP5
Product: GUSB pseudogene 5
Source: Ensembl